GAUGAACGCUGGCGGCGUGCCUAAUACAUGCAAGUCGAGCGAACAGACGAGGAGCCUGCUCCUCUGACGUUAGCGGCGGACGGGUGAGUAACACGUGGAUAACCUACCUAUAAGACUGGGAUAACUUCGGGAAACCGGAGCUAAUACCGGAUAACAUGUUGAACCGCAUGGUUCAACAGUGAAAGACGGUCUUGCUGUCACUUAUAGAUGGAUCCGCGCCGCAUUAGCUAGUUGGUAAGGUAACGGCUUACCAAGGCAACGAUGCGUAGCCGACCCGAGAGGGUGAUCGGCCACACUGGAACUGAGACACGGUCCAGACUCCUACGGGAGGCAGCAGUAGGGAAUCUUCCGCAAUGGGCGAAAGCCUGACGGAGCAACGCCGCGUGAGUGAAGAAGGUCUUCGGAUCGUAAAACUCUGUUAUUAGGGAAGAACAAAUGUGUAAGUAACUAUGCACGUCUUGACGGUACCUAAUCAGAAAGCCACGGCUAACUACGUG
This 497-nucleotide ribosomal RNA is filed under the name uncultured bacterium. Its description in RNAcentral is "partial 16S ribosomal RNA". It matches the Rfam family "Bacterial small subunit ribosomal RNA", at positions 28 to 507 of the family's 1533-position model. The record is from RNAcentral.